This 856-nucleotide ribosomal RNA is filed under the name Cantharellus minor. RNAcentral's name for it is "eukaryotic LSU rRNA". It matches the Rfam family "Eukaryotic large subunit ribosomal RNA", at positions 75 to 943 of the family's 3401-position model. Lineage: Eukaryota; Fungi; Basidiomycota; Agaricomycetes; Cantharellales; Hydnaceae. The record is from RNAcentral.
UUCCCCCAGUAACUGCGAGUGAAGAGGGAAGAGCUCAUCAUUGGAAUCUGGCAGCGUUGCGCUGUCCGAGUUGUAGAUGAGAAGAGUAGGACAUCUGGACUGCAUGGUGUCCAAGUACAAUAGGCCGUCAGUGGGACAUCAUAGAGGGUGACAAUCCCGUCCUUGACACCAAUGUACGAGUCCUUUACGAUGCCUAUCUCGGAGAGUCGAGCAGUUUGGGAUUUGCUGCUUAAACACGGGAGGUAGAUUCCUUCCAAAGCUAAAUACAGGCAAGAGACCGAUAGUGAACAAGUACCGCAAGGGAAAGAUGAAAUAGAACUCUGUGAAGGGAGUCAAAAAGACGUGAAAUUGUUGCGAGAGAAGCGAUUCAAGUCAGCGUAGCUGGGCCCAUCAAGCCUCGCGCUUUGGACCAGCUUUGCCAGCGGUCUUGUCCCCAGAGACUUGACUAAGGUGCCCUGCCCGGUCUAACGGACAGACCUCCCCGCUGGGGAGGCCAGUGGCAUGGCUGGUGGAAUGGCUUGCAAUCGACCCGUCUUGAAACCCGGACCAAGGAGUCUAACAUGUACGCGAGUAUAAGGGUGGCAAACCCGUAUGCGCAAAGAAAGUGAUAGCCUAUGGCUGAGAAUGACCUGACGACCNNNNNNNNNNNNNAUGUCCCUCGUACGGUCAUUGCCCAAGUCCCAUGGUCAGAUCCCAUGGACAUGGAGUUGGAGCGUGCAUGCUAGGACCCGAAAGAUGGUGAACUAUGCCUGGACAAAGCGAAGCCAAAGGAAACUCUGGUGGAGGCUUGUAGCGAUUCUGACGUGCAAAUCGAUCGUCUGAUCUGGGUAUAGGGGCGAAAGACUAAUCGAACCAU